This 471-nucleotide ribosomal RNA is filed under the name uncultured bacterium. RNAcentral's name for it is "bacterial SSU rRNA". It matches the Rfam family "Bacterial small subunit ribosomal RNA", at positions 329 to 793 of the family's 1533-position model. The record is from RNAcentral.
GCAGAGCAUCCUACGGGAGGCAGCAGUGGGGAAUAUUGCACAAUGGGCGCAAGCCUGAUGCAGCCAUGCCGCGUGUAUGAAGAAGGCCUUCGGGUUGUAAAGUACUUUCAGCAGUGAGGAAGGUGGGUAUGUUAAUAGCAUAUUCAUUUGACGUUAGCUGCAGAAGAAGCACCGGCUAACUCCGUGCCAGCAGCCGCGGUAAUACGGAGGGUGCGAGCGUUAAUCGGAAUUACUGGGCGUAAAGCGCAUGCAGGUGGUUUGUUAAGUCAGAUGUGAAAGCCCGGGGCUCAACCUCGGAAUUGCAUUUGAAACUGGCAAACUAGAGUACUGUAGAGGGGGUAGAAUUUCAGGUGUAGCGGUGAAAUGCGUAGAGAUCUGAAGGAAUACCGGUGGCGAAGGCGGCCCCCUGGACAGAUACUGACACUCAGAUGCGAAAGCGUGGGGAGCAAACAGGAUUAUAUACCCUGGUAG